RNAcentral lists this ribosomal RNA (119 nucleotides) under Phoma herbarum. Its description in RNAcentral is "partial 18S ribosomal RNA". The stretch from base 1 to 68 matches the Rfam family "Eukaryotic small subunit ribosomal RNA", at positions 1764 to 1831 of the family's 1831-position model. The record is from RNAcentral. Lineage: Eukaryota; Fungi; Ascomycota; Dothideomycetes; Pleosporales; Didymellaceae.
CUUGGUCAUUUAGAGGAAGUAAAAGUGGUAACAAGGGUUCCGUAGGUGAACCUGCGGAAGGAUCAUUACCUAGAGUUUGUGGCUUUGCCUGCUAUCUCUUACCCAUGUCUUUUGAGUAC